Molecule: non-coding RNA, 775 nt
Organism: Rattus norvegicus (Norway rat)
Lineage: Eukaryota; Metazoa; Chordata; Mammalia; Rodentia; Muridae
Source: RefSeq, a predicted model, not a curated record
GUUCUCACAGUGGAAAUGUGGCUCCCGAUACCCACAGCAGCUCCAGAGGCGGCCGCCAAAGUGAGGCAUCUCAUACCUGCAGGGACGACUAGCUUCUCCUCUGUUCUCUCAUCGCCUGAGGUGAACUGGACAUCGCGUGGGUCCCGCCCACCCUCUUGCUUUUAGGUAUCCAGAAACACUCAAGGAUCUAAGUUGUCCGCACAGCAGGCAAGGACUAUGGAGCUAUCAUGGCACCUCGGGGGAUUAUCUGGGCAAACCAUUUCAUCACAGAAAGGAGGACACAGAGAUUCAAGGGCUUAGAAGACUUUCCUGAGGGGAUAUGGCUAAUUACUGCUUGAGCUGAGAUUAGAGCCAGAAUCUCUUCAAACCUAGUCCAAAGCAUCUGCGUCAUUUGCUGUUUUGAAGACUGAAGAUGAGGCUAGUGCCACUUCCCCUCGUGUAAUCGGACAAAGUCAGACCGCAUGAUGGUUGUAGCUGUUAUGGUCUCUACAAUAAGAGUAAUAAGAAUAAGCCCUCCUCCUUGACAUGUGUAAGGCAAAGCUUGGAUGAGAACAAAGCCUACUGGACUCAUUAAGAAGCGGUUUCCAGAACAUGAGCAAACGUUGGCGGAAGAACACACCCGCAAAGUUGAAGGUAACUGAUGGGGUUGGAAAUGUAUGAGAAGUCAAGAACAUUCCUGAUGUCCUUCUUCUAGCUGGCUGGCUGGCAACAGAACUAGCUCUUUAAAUGCUUGCUCUGGUCAUGAAGACAAGCAAAUAAACCAAUGAGAAAACUA